CCUACGGGUGGCAGCAGUGGGGAAUAUUGGGCAAUGGGCGCAAGCCUGACCCAGCAACGCCGCGUGAAGGAAGAAGGCUUUCGGGUUGUAAACUUCUUUUAUUGAGGACGAAACAAAUGACGGUACUCAAUGAAUAAGCCACAGCUAACUACGUGCCAGCAGCCGCGGUAAUACGUAGGUGGCAAGCGUUAUCCGGAUUUACUGGGUGUAAAGGGCGUGUAGGCGGGACUGCAAGUCAGAUGUGAAAACCAUGGGCUCAACCCAUGGCCUGCAUUUGAAACUGUAGUUCUUGAGUGAUGGAGAGGCAGGCGGAAUUCCGUGUGUAGCGGUGAAAUGCGUAGAUAUACGGAGGAACACCAGUGGCGAAGGCGGCCUGCUGGACAUUAACUGACGCUGAGGCGCGAAAGCGUGGGGAGCAAACAGGAUUAGAUACCCUUGUAGUC
Molecule: ribosomal RNA, 443 nt
Filed under: uncultured bacterium
Lineage: Bacteria
Description: partial 16S ribosomal RNA
Rfam family: Bacterial small subunit ribosomal RNA
Source: RNAcentral